This 222-nucleotide long non-coding RNA is filed under the name Elaeis guineensis (African oil palm). RNAcentral's name for it is "long non-coding RNA (EGUI_LNC024381)". Lineage: Eukaryota; Viridiplantae; Streptophyta; Magnoliopsida; Arecales; Arecaceae. The record is from RNAcentral.
UCCUCUCACCAUGAUCUCUCUCCUCCAUCAAUCUUCUUUAUUAAAUAAAAUCUCUUUGAUCUUGAUCCUUCUUUUGCCAUAGAAGGUGGAUCCUAAUGCUCUAUCUCUCCCACCAUAAAUACCACAUCAAGCUUGGAUCUCGUAAGAAGGUAAUGAGCCUUCUUCCCCUUCUUGUCUUGUAUUUUUUAUCUAUCAUCAAGAAAAUUUGUGGAUUAGGGUUUC